GCACCUCUUCUCGGUGAUUUCUUCCACCCCAGGCAAGCCACGCCAUCCAUUUGCAUGAUUGAAAUGCAGUGACAUGGUUUAUUCAUUUAAACUUGUUUAAAAUAUUGCUUUAGCUAUAUGUGAUCUGUUCAUGGCAUUUCCCGGAGUAUUGAUUUGAUCUUCAUAUUGCUUGGAGUAUUAGGCUUAUAUUUUUGAUGAUUAUGUGGACGACAUGUGCCUUUGGAUUCUUAGUGGCUAUUAGGAUUAUUUUCAUGAUGGUAUCUGGUAUUCUUUUGGAGAAUUACUUUGGAUGACAUGUGCCUUUGGAUUCCUAGUGGCUAUUAGGAUUAUUUUCAUGAUGGUAUCUGGUAUUAGUUUGGAGUAUUACUUUGGAUGACAUGUGCCUUUGGAUUCUUAGUGGCUAUUAGGAUUAUGUCCAUGAUGGUAUCUAUUAUUAUAUUUUGGAGUAUUACUUUGGAUAUCAUGCUGCCUUUGGAUUAUUAGUGGUUAGUAUGAUUAUUUUCAUGAUGCUAGUUGAUUCUCUGUUGCUUGAAGUAUUAUUUUCGAAAAUGAUGUUUACAUGUGGAUCUUAGUCGAAUAGCUUUAUUCUUGUUAUUGGAGUAGUAGGAUUAUUGUUUUCGGAUUCAUCAUGACAGUAGUGAUGUGCUACCCUUGGAGUAUUUUUGAGGUGAUAAUAUUAGGCUUGGAUUAUUUGUUGGAUUUUGCUAUGACUUGGAUUAUAGUUUGAUAGUUGAUAUCGAAGUAUCAGUCAUCGCAGUUAUACUUUGGUGGAUAAAUUCAGUCAUUAAGUUGGUCAGGUGCCACCGAACUGGGCUUUCUCCAGUGCAACCACAUUUGCCUUUAUGGGAAGGCCCUAAUGCGGUCUAUUGCCGUGCCUCUCGCCGGUGCCUCCAACUACGGAAGGUUAUGGGAAUGCGGUACCCUGGCCCGGUGAUUCCAUGAUUGCUUGAUUUCUUGUCAAGGUUGCCGUGUGUGCGAGCUAGAUCGUGUCCCAGCCAGAGUCCCUGAGGAGUGGAGUUCACUACCUUCGUCGUUGUUCCGCUGCUACGAGUUGUUCUGCUGCUAGCAUAGAGCAAGUGUAGUAUUGCAGGCGUAGUGCCGCCGUGCUGAUGUGCUUCUUUGUAAUAUCAUACCCUUGUAUUAUUAUCCUUGUAAUAAGAGCUGAUUUGUUCUA
This is a long non-coding RNA of Triticum dicoccoides, 1174 nucleotides long. RefSeq lists it as uncharacterized. NCBI's taxonomy places the organism in Eukaryota, Viridiplantae, Streptophyta, Magnoliopsida, Poales, Poaceae. The transcript has 2 exons. The record is from RefSeq and is a predicted model, not a curated record.